Non-coding RNA from Microcebus murinus (gray mouse lemur), 2347 nucleotides. NCBI's taxonomy places the organism in Eukaryota, Metazoa, Chordata, Mammalia, Primates, Cheirogaleidae. The record is from RefSeq and is a predicted model, not a curated record.
CUCACGCGGGACCCUUGGCCGCAGGCGGUCCUGAACCGUGAGUGUGGGGGUUGUCCACACAACACGACUUGAAGGGUGCUGUGUAGGCCUCCCCAGGAUAUGCUCUGUGCUAUCCAGCCUUCGAUCGGAAAUUCUGUCAUUAGAAUUUUGCUUCUUUAACCCUUAAAGCCUUGAUGUUUUCAAGAGCAUCCUAUUUAAAUUCUGAGGCGCAUUUGCCUCAGGUCUCCUGGGAGGCUGUUCCAAACGCAGAUAACCAGGCUCUGCCCUUGGCCCUCCCUGCGUGCUCAGCACAAAUGCUCCGAGCUCCGUGAACAGGAGAAGGACCAGCGUUGGGACUAGCCUAGGACUAGGGCUCAGGGUGGGGCGAACCGGAAGCCGCCGCUGGCUGCAGAGCGUGGGGAGAAGGCGGGCGGCCAGGGCGGCUUGGAGACCCACACCGCCUGCAGAGGGCGCUGCCGCUCCACGCGGCGCCUCCGCCAGGGCUGGCUGCCUCUUCGCCUCAUUCCCACGCGCUUGGGCCUCCCGGGCCCCACCUCCAAGCCUGCGCCCUGGUCUGGGUUCCUUCCGAGGGUUCAUUUGGGAGCUCUGGAGCCAGGCUGCCUGAACGGAGAUCCCAGCUGGCUGUGUGAACCGCUCUCCCUGCCUUACUGCCCUCUUCUGUCUCUUCAGGUUGUUGUAAUGAGUAAACGUGUGUUAAGGUGCACAAAGUCCUUCAGCCACAGCCGGCAUACCCAGCACUUGCAAGUCUGGCUGCCGCUCUUGGUCAGCCUCCCAGUUCUUCCAGUUGGAUCCUGGGCUCUCCCCACCGGUCCCACUUCACCCUGGGUCUCCCGAGAGCGAGAUGCUGUCUGUCAGCCUCAGUCCCGAUCACCAGUUACAAACCUGUGAAACCUGUGUAAUCAGAGAGUUAUCCACAUGGCAUUAUACAUUUGUCCAAACCCAUAGAAGGUGCAACACCAAAGGUGAACCCUAAUGUCAGUGAUGGAUUCCAGGUGACAAUGAUGUGUCAAUGCAAGUUCAUCGACUGUAGCAAAUAAACAGCUACAGAUGAAGUAUCCCCACAUAAAUCAGUUCAUUCAUUCAACAAGUGCAUGAAGCCAGCUGUAUUUGGCACAUCCCAUGGAAGAGGAUUCCAGAUGAAGGGAAGAGCAAGUGCAAUGCCCAGAAAUGGGGACAUGGUGGGUUAGUGGAGGAGCAUCAAGCCUUGUGAGGCCUCUUGGACGCUGGGAAAGGAAAGGGUGUGGGGUUUUCUUCUCAAGGUGAUAGAAAACAAUUUGAGGCUGAGAGCAGGGUGGUGGCAGAAUGUACUGAUAUGCAUAAAUCUUGCCUUCUGCCAUGGAGAACAAGUUACCUCUCACCUCAUUCUCCUGAGGGAAGAAUGUUCUACAUAUCUGUCCUCAUUUUUCAUCUAUCAAAGCAUCUCAGUUUACGUUUAAAAAUUUAUAUAAAACUUUCAGUGUUUUGUAAUGCAAAUACAAUAAAUAAGUUUUCUUUAUCUAUUCCUACACCAAAGAUCAGAACUUACAAUGCUCACCCAUUGCCUUCAGAAUGAAAAUACAAACAAAACAUGCAGCAAUAUAUUGGCCAAGAAGGUGUGUCUCCACAGGAAAGGAGUAUAAAAAUCACCUGCAGAGGGAGCAUGGCAAAAACUUAAAUACACCCAUCCAUAUCUUGUGCUUACACUUUUUCUCUCUUUUUUAAAAAUCAGGUAUAACACAUGCACACAGAAUUUCACACAUCAUAAGUGCACUAACUGGAUCUCUGUGAAGCAAACAUACCAUAAACCACUAUCCAGGUCAAGAGAGAGAGUUUCAUCAGCACCUCAAAAACCUGACCCAUGACCGCUCUAGAUUCCGUAUUCUUCCUUCUCCCUCAAGGUAAUCAUGCUUCUGACUUGGACAAAUCAGAUUAGUCUGCCUAUUUUUAAAUUUCAUUUAAUGGAAACAUACUUUUUUACCUAUUUGGCUCAAUAUUUUAUUUGUGAGAUUCCCCCAUGCUGUUGCAUAUAGUUGUGGUUUAGUAUUUUUACUGCCAUAUAGUAUUCCACUGUAUGAAAAUCCUGCAGUUCCAUUUCAUUGUUGGUGGAUGCUUACAUUGUUUCCAUGUUUAGGCUAUUGCAAAUAAUGCUAUUAUAAAUAUCCUUGACUGCGUAUCUUAGCACACAUGACACAUUUUUCCUGGGUAUGUAACUAGGAGUAGAUUGGCCAGAUCACAGGGUAUGCAUAUGUUGAAAUGUAGUUUAUAGUGUCAAAGAGCUUUUAAAAAGUUCAUACUAAUGUGAACUCCUACCUGCAGUUUAAGCCCUACCAAUACUUCAUAAUUAUCUGUCUUUUUAAAUUUCAGUCUU